CUGAAGCAACUGAGUAGA
This 18-nucleotide small nuclear RNA is filed under the name Arabidopsis thaliana (thale cress). RNAcentral describes it as "snRNA_15827". The record is from RNAcentral. Lineage: Eukaryota; Viridiplantae; Streptophyta; Magnoliopsida; Brassicales; Brassicaceae.